UCCUCUGUUUUUCUGUAUGAG
RNAcentral lists this non-coding RNA (21 nucleotides) under Caenorhabditis elegans. The record is from RNAcentral. Lineage: Eukaryota; Metazoa; Nematoda; Chromadorea; Rhabditida; Rhabditidae.